Molecule: ribosomal RNA, 253 nt
Filed under: uncultured bacterium
Lineage: Bacteria
Description: partial 16S ribosomal RNA
Rfam family: Bacterial small subunit ribosomal RNA
Source: RNAcentral
UACGAAGGGGGCUAGCGCUGCUCGGAAUCACUGGGCGUAAAGCGCACGUAGGCGGAUCUUUAAGUCAGGGGUGAAAUCCUGGAGCUCAACUCCAGAACUGCCUUUGAUACUGGGGAUCUCGAGUCCGGGAGAGGUGAGUGGAACUCCGAGUGUAGAGGUGAAAUUCGUAGAUAUUCGGAAGAACACCAGUGGCGAAGGCGGCUCACUGGCCCGGUACUGACGCUGAGGUGCGAAAGCGUGGGGAGCAAACAGG